RNAcentral lists this ribosomal RNA (711 nucleotides) under uncultured Xenasmataceae. Its description in RNAcentral is "eukaryotic LSU rRNA". The stretch from base 210 to 363 matches the Rfam family "5.8S ribosomal RNA". The record is from RNAcentral. Lineage: Eukaryota; Fungi; Basidiomycota; Agaricomycetes; Russulales; Xenasmataceae.
GGAAGGAUCAUUAAUGAGUUUGAACGAAGCUGUUCUGGUCUUUCGGGGCAAGUGAACGCUUCACUCAAUCCAUCUCACACCUGUGCACUUUUCAGGGGGGAAAAACUUUAGAGUACUCAAAGUUGGAUAACGACGAUGAAAGCUCAUGUUUUCUCCUCUUAUUAAAAAUUACAAGUCAUUAGAAAGUCAUUUGUUAAUACAAAUAAUACAACUUUCAGCAACGGAUCUCUUGGCUCUCGCAUCGAUGAAGAACGCAGCGAAAUGCGAUAAGUAAUGUGAAUUGCAGAAUUCAGUGAAUCAUCGAAUCUUUGAACGCACCUUGCACUCCUUGGUAUUCCGAGGAGUAUGCCUGUUUGAGUGUCAUGAAAUUAUCAACUUCAUGGUUUUAUUACUAUGAGGGUUGGACUUGGAAGCUUGCUGGCGAGAGUCAGCUCUUCUUAAAUGCAUUAGCUACUUGUCCGUGAGUUGGCUCAGAGUGUGAUAAGUAUCUACACUUGGUGGCUGCUUGCAUUGGGACGUGGCUUCUAAUAGUCUUCAGACAAUUUAUUAAGAUCUGACCUCAAAUCAGGUAGGACUACCCGCUGAACUUAAGCAUAUCAAUAAGCGGAGGAAAAGAAACUAACAAGGAUUCCCCUAGUAACGGCGAGUGAAGCGGGAAAAGCUCAAAUUUAAAAUCUAACUGUCUUAGGCAGUUCGAGUUGUAAUUUGGAG